UUAAAUUGAAGAGUUUGAUCAUGGCUCAGAUUGAACGCUGGCGGCAGGCCUAACACAUGCAAGUCGAACGGUAACAGGAAUCAGCUUGCUGAUUCGCUGACGAGUGGCGGACGGGUGAGUAAUGUCUGGGAAACUGCCUGAUGGAGGGGGAUAACUACUGGAAACGGUAGCUAAUACCGCAUAA
This 184-nucleotide ribosomal RNA is filed under the name Escherichia coli. RNAcentral describes it as "partial 16S ribosomal RNA". It matches the Rfam family "Bacterial small subunit ribosomal RNA", at positions 1 to 176 of the family's 1533-position model. Lineage: Bacteria; Pseudomonadati; Pseudomonadota; Gammaproteobacteria; Enterobacterales; Enterobacteriaceae. The record is from RNAcentral.